AUUUACAUUAUUUUUAUGUUGUGACCUCUGAGCUCCAGAUUGGGACAGAGGGAAUCAGCAUAAUUUUUUGUGGUGCAUUUACUUGAUUGGUGCUUGGGGAUGUUUGAGGCAGAUUUGUUUCCGUCGUUUUGAGGCCAGCUUGCUGGUACCCAAACGGUGUUAGCAUUUUUUGUCUUGGGCAUUUGAGUAUGGCUCACGGGUAUUUAUUGGACAGAUCUGAGUGUAAGUUACGGUCGCAUGCGACACGUGCUUUUCAAUUAGUUCGGUCCAGUUAAUGCUCUCGUACUCGUUCCCCAUGUAAAAGCCGGUCAUCUAUCCGACCCGUCUUGAAACACGGACCAAGGAGUUUAUCGUGUGCGCAAGUUUUUGGGUGUUAAAAACUUAAAAGCGAAAUGAAAGUAAAUGACUCUUUAGAGUCUGAUGUGCGAUCUUGUAAAAAAGUGUAGCAUGGCCCCAUUCUAACUGUUUACAGUAGGGUGGCGGAAGAGCGUACGCGGUGAGACCCGAAAGAUGGUGAACUAUUCCUGAGCAGGACGAAGCCAGAGGAAACUCUGGUGGAAGUCCGAAGCGGUUCUGACGUGCAAAUCGAUCGU
This 593-nucleotide ribosomal RNA is filed under the name Meloidogyne incognita (southern root-knot nematode). Its description in RNAcentral is "partial large subunit ribosomal RNA". It matches the Rfam family "Eukaryotic large subunit ribosomal RNA", at positions 445 to 905 of the family's 3401-position model. Lineage: Eukaryota; Metazoa; Nematoda; Chromadorea; Rhabditida; Meloidogynidae. The record is from RNAcentral.